ACACCAUGAAAAAAACAUAAUCAUACAAGAUAGAUUUUUGCGUUAUGGGGAAACAAUUAGCAGAUAUUUUAACACGGUAUUAAGAGCAGUCCUAUGUCUACAAGGAUAAUUGUUAAAAACACCAGAACCUAUUCCAGAAAACUCAUCUGAUGAGAAGUGGAAAUGGUUUAAGAAUUGUCUUGGGGCACUAGAUGGGACAUAUAUUAGAGUACAUGUGCCAAAAGCGGACAAGCCUAGGUACCGAAGUAGGAAGAAUGAAAUUGCUACUAAUGUCUUGGGAGUAUGCUCCCAAGAUAUGCAAUUCAUUUAUGUAUUACCGGGUUGGGAGGGUUCGGCUGCAGAUUCACGAGUACUACGUGAUGCCAUUAGUAGGAGACAUGGGUUCCGAGUCCCCUAUGGAUAUUACUACCUUGUUGAUGCUGAGUAUCCAAAUGGGGAGGGGUUUCUUGCUCCAUAUAGAGGCCAGAGAUAUCAUUUAAAUGAUUGGAGAGAAGGAUACCAACUUACCACCCUCGAAGAAUUUUUUUAAUAUGAAGCAUUCUUCUGCUAGGAAUGUGAUAGAGAGAUGUUUUGGGUUACUUAAGAUGCGAUGGGCAAUUCUAAGGAGCCCUUCAUUUUUUCCAGCGAAGACGCAGUGCCUAAUUGUUAUAGCAUGUUGCUUGCUUCACAACCUUAUAAGAAGGGAAAUGGCAAUUGAUCCCUUAGAAAAUGAACUGAAUGCCA
Rosa chinensis is the source of this 723-nucleotide long non-coding RNA. RefSeq lists it as uncharacterized. The transcript is spliced from 3 exons. The record is from RefSeq and is a predicted model, not a curated record. NCBI's taxonomy places the organism in Eukaryota, Viridiplantae, Streptophyta, Magnoliopsida, Rosales, Rosaceae.